GAUGAAGAACGUAGCGAAAUGCGAUAAGUAAUGUGAAUUGCAGAAUUCAGUGAAUCAUCGAAUCUUUGAACGCACAUUGCGCCCUCCGGCAUUCCGGGGGGCAUGCCUGUCCGAGCGUCACGAAAACCCCAUCACACUCGUUGUGGUCAUGGCUGCAGUGAGUCGUCUCCAGCGGAGAGGGUCACGCCGCUGAAAGGAAUGGUGCGGAUGAGUUCCGAUGGCCGAACGUAGUACUUGACAACCGUCGGCCGAUGGGACCCUCCAUCUCGCCCUGACGACGUACCCCCGUCGUACCCCCGAUCAGGUGGACCUCGGAUCAGGUAGGGAUACCCGCUGAACUUAAGCAUAUCAAUAAGCGAGGA
RNAcentral lists this unclassified non-coding RNA (362 nucleotides) under soil metagenome. RNAcentral describes it as "partial contains 5.8S ribosomal RNA, internal transcribed spacer 2, and large subunit ribosomal RNA". The stretch from base 1 to 120 matches the Rfam family "5.8S ribosomal RNA", at positions 35 to 154 of the family's 154-position model. The record is from RNAcentral.